Long non-coding RNA from Macaca mulatta (Rhesus monkey), 2790 nucleotides. Ensembl annotates it as transmembrane protein 167B. Its record names the gene TMEM167B. The record is from Ensembl. NCBI's taxonomy places the organism in Eukaryota, Metazoa, Chordata, Mammalia, Primates, Cercopithecidae.
GCUCGCCUCUCGGCCCUUGUUCCUGCGUGCUCGGCUUCUUCCAGUCGCCUGGGCCCGGAUCGGGAAGUGUCAAGCGGCUGCCGAGUUCCCUCACCUCCGCGGCUAUCACCACUGAACCCGGACCCCCUACCCAGGUCCAGGGCCAGCCGCCAUGACGAACGUGUACUCCUUGGAUGGGAUUCUGGUGUUUGGUUUGCUCUUUGUUUGCACCUGUGCCUACUUCAAGAAAGUACCUCGUCUCAAAACCUGGCUGCUAUCAGAGAAGAAGGGUGUUUGGGGUGUGUUUUACAAAGCCGCUGUGAUUGGAACCAGGCUGCAUGCUGCUGUGGCAAUUGCUUGUGUUGUAAUGGCCUUUUACGUCCUGUUUAUAAAAUGAAUUCCAAAGUAUCCAAGUCAUCAACUGCCAACCAAGGGGACGGGGAUGAAGAACCUGUUGGAGACCUGGACUCAGUGUAGGAGAGUUCAGCUGAAAUCAUCAGUCCCCAGAAUGACACCACAGCGUCAGCCCCUGCUAUAUGUGGGGAAAACUCAUGGUCACGAACAUUAUGUAUGCUUCAGGGGACUACAGAAAGCCAGCUUCCUUUGAUCUGUGUGUAAAUCGGUCCUUGGCAGAGUGCAUAUGAUGUCCAGAUAAAUUACACCCCUCGAUGAUAAGAUUACAUACCUCCUUCAUAAAAACCUGUCAUCUUGUUUUGUUCUUCAGCUCCUCAUCAGGAUCUUUUCAAACUGAGGCUCAUUAGGGAAGGAACUAUGCUGUGUUCAGACCUCUUUUGAAGAGAGAAUUUUCAAGACUUCUUUUCACUCUUUGAUUUGGAUCUGGCAAAUUGGGGAGGGGAUGCUGGGUGGGAAACAGUUAUGAAAUGCCAAGAUAUUCUUUGGCUUUAGGAAUUUAUCUUUCAUGUACCCAUCUGGGAACAUAAAAGAGAGGCAUAGUGCUCACUGCAAAAAGAGAACAGAUGAAGUAGCUGUGUUAUGUGCUGGUAUCUUGAGUUUUGCCAAGAAAAUCUGGGCCUACAUAAAAUUUGAGAAUUAUCUGUGUGAUGAGACCAGAAAGCAGUGGCUUACACAAGAAAAAAUUUUUCUGUUCACCAGUAUCCUCAAAUGGAGACUUCACUUGAUCAGAUGGUAUAUGAAAAAUGAAUCAACUGUUGCUAUUUCAUAAAACCUUUUUAUAUUUUCUAAAUUACUUAGUGCUAAAUACUGUUACUCAGUUUUAAAUGCCACAACUAAGGAAAAAGAAACUAUUGAAAAAUUGUUUAAUAUAUUUACAGUUGGGGUAGAAGGAAGAAAUCUAGUAUAUUGAUUCAUAUACUAGUAAAUUUGUCUAGUAUAAGAAUUUGUGAUGUCAGAUUGAAGUUUUGUCAUCUUAUAAAAGACAACAAACUUAUUUUGUGUUUAAGUCUGAGUUGUUACGGCAAUUUUUAGUUGAUUACUUUAUUUCUUAGCCAACUCUUAAUUUUCUUCAUAUUGCAUUACUCUUUAGUUGUCUCUGGAAAUUCUACUUACUUUAAGGACAUGAGAAAUUCAAAUGAGAGAAGUUGCUGAUAUUCAUCAGUGUGUUUGAACCGUGCAUAGGAUCCACAAAUCAAAUGAGGGUGUUUCCUGAAGUAGAAGAAAACAGAACUUUGCAACUGAUACUGAAGUAUUUUGCCAUGGAGUUAGUAACUCCUGAGCAGACCAUUUUAGAUGGCUCAGCAUUUGACAGGAAGACUUCUCCAUUCCCUCCUUAUAUCUACAGAAGGAUCUGUUGGAUGUCUAGAACUUCUCUAUUUAAAAAAAAAAGAGUAGGUCUAAAAUUAAAUUAUUAUAAGCAAGCAUAGGCAUGGGUCUUCCAGUUGAAUUGUCCAUUAUUGUAAAACUUAAUGGUGGACAAGUUAGCUGUGGUUGAUUCCUGUGUGGCAGUAAAUUGUCUUCUGUCUGCUUACUCCAAAUAAUAAAAGCUGCUAGGAAGUUUAGAUUUGGAAAUAGGCAGUUUAAUGCUUUGAGGGUUUCUAGAAAUACAGAAAGUCAUCAAGUAAACACUACAUGUCUAAUCAUCUCAGAGUUGUGGCUGUUAUCUCUUCAGGAAUUGGUCCACAGGGUAAAUUUCAACAAUUCAUAUGUUUUCCAUUGUCAUUUCUGAAGACCUUUGAGAUGAGAGAAAGGAAAUCUAGUGGAACAGGAAAGAGAGUUACACCUUGUGGGUGUGAGUUUGGGACCUGUUGGCCAAAGGGAAUGUCACUCCCUGGAAACAGGUUCAGCAUGUUUGCACUUGUUAUUUUGUAGCUUUAAUGAUUUUUGUUUUCUAAUGUCUCUAAGCUUGGUGUUUAGAGCUGCUUCAUAUUUUAAACUAGUUCCAUUCCACAGUACUAGUUCAAACCAGUUCUUACAGCCUCCUGGGUGGGUCAUCUUGACCUAAACUCUUGUGUUGUCACAUUUUGAGAUGUUUUCAUAGCAGAAUGUACCAAAAAGUGCACAAGGUAAAGGUAAUUUACAGCAAGAAACAAAUACACAUUUGUUUUAUUUCUUGACUUUCCCUAAGCAGAUAAGCAGAAACUUGUUUAACUCAUUACUUUGUUUGAUGUGUCUUGCAUAUUUUUGACUAAAAGUUAUAGGAAGUUAUUCCUCUGGGGGAAUCUUUUACAGGUGGAGGAAUGGGGAUAGCAGUAUAGCCUCAGAUUCAAACUGGCAUCACCCUAAACCCUGUAGGCCAGGGUGGAAUGAAGUCAGCUCCUUUUUAUAGUUGAAAUACAAAUUUUUAUUCACCAUUGUCUGCACAAAUCCUUGAAAAUAAACGUUUUUUCCCUACAA